UCCUGAGUAGCUCGGUCAGUAAAGCAUCUGCCUGCAAUGCAGAAGACCAGGGUUCAAUUCCUGGGUCGGGAA
This 72-nucleotide transfer RNA is filed under the name Bos taurus (domestic cattle). It matches the Rfam family "tRNA". Rfam says of the family: Transfer RNA (tRNA) molecules are approximately 80 nucleotides in length. Their secondary structure includes four short double-helical elements and three loops (D, anti-codon, and T loops). The record is from Rfam by way of RNAcentral. Lineage: Eukaryota; Metazoa; Chordata; Mammalia; Artiodactyla; Bovidae. RNAcentral also lists the same sequence under 1 other name.